UUUAAAGAAUAGAACAAUCGAGCAUUUUCUUGCAAAAAUCUUAUGACAAACUCAUGAACUUUUCUAAACUUUGCUCAGUUUGAAAUGCAGUAAGAAGCACGAGAUAUGGCGUGAUCUUUUUUAUUAUAUAAUCAUCUUUCCUUAACCUCAGGUGAGUAGGUAUUGACUGUAAAGUACUUUAUAAAAGGUUUAUAUAUAGGCUGCACUCACUCGGAUCAUGCUCAGAUUUUGCGUCAAUGUAAAUAUGAUGUAAUACAACCAGAUUGUCAUACCAUCUGCAUCGAAAAAUUGUGCAUAUGUUAUUUUAACCUCAAACACACAUGAACUAAGUGUUCACAAAAAAUUAUUAGAGACAAAAUGAGAUACAGUAAUUUGAGUAAUAACAUGAUGAUAAGUUCUUUGUAUGUUUGCAUGGCGAUAAAAUAUAAUAGUCUUGUUUGUGGAAACACCACGUAAAUUUAUUACUUAUUAUUAGCACUGAUGAAGAUCCAGGCUUGCGGAUCGAAAUCUUUGCAGUAAUAAAUUUACGUGGUGUUUCCACAAACAAAACUAUUAACAUGAUGAUAAUUAGCAAACUGUGAACGAUUACAAUUCAAAUACAAAUAUACAAUAGUCAAGCAAGACUUUGCAGUAGUCUAGCAAGUUGAUGGGCGGACGGCACACAUGACCAACACAACUCGGCAGAGCUGGCAGAGCACCUCCCUACCAGAUCAUGCUGGAUCCAUCCCUGUCAUAUGUUCUGCACUGCAUCGCCGUGCUUUAAUAACAUCACAGAAUAACUACUAAUUUAUACACAAGUUUUUAAUGCAUGUUAGGAUCUUCAGGUAGUCUAUAUUGACAACAUAAUAUUUUUGUUUCUAUCAAUCAGACCAGAUGUCAUAGUAAUCAAACUUUUAAACUUGUGUCUAAAAUUAAAAGAAAAGAACCAGACGAGAAAAUCACACACAUUUCCACUUCUGUUGUGCUGGCAAUAUGAUCAAAUUUGACCUGUUGUGUUGAUUGUAGGAGAAAAAUUGCACAUGAUAACCCUGGGCCUUGCAAAUCACUACAGCUGCAAUACAGCUGCAUGAUGGUAUACAUCAUACAGAUCCGGACAAGACCAUGAUGUUUAUAUUCAUUUGAACACUUUGCAGCAGCCGUGGUUGGCUUUUGCUACAUUAACCAUUUCAGCUUCAUUAUUUCUAGGACAACAUGUCAUCACCAGAUAAGGGUUAUGACAUCACAUACAAAGUUCUGGUUGUCGGGGAAAUGAGCGUUGGAAAAACAUCGUUAAUUCGAAGAUAUUCCCGUCCUGAAGAAAAAAUGGCAAUGUCUUACCUCACCACUGUUGGUAAUUAUUUAUAAAAAACAGAGUUGUAGACUUGAGUCGAUUAUGUGACUUGGACUUGAGUUGCAAUUUUUGUGAUUGGACUUGGGGAUGCUUCACAUAUCGAUUUUUUCCAUGAGAAACGUCAUAUGUUUGUUUGGG
Molecule: non-coding RNA, 1468 nt
Organism: Paramuricea clavata
Lineage: Eukaryota; Metazoa; Cnidaria; Anthozoa; Malacalcyonacea; Plexauridae
Source: the annotation of a GenBank genome assembly